AUUGAACGCUGGCGGCAUGCCUUACACAUGCAAGUCGAACGGUAACAGGUCUUCGGAUGCUGACGAGUGGCGAACGGGUGAGUAAUACAUCGGAACGCGCCUAGUAGUGGGGGAUAACUACUCGAAAGAGUGGCUAAUACCGCAUGAGAUCUACGGAUGAAAGCAGGGGAUCGCAAGACCUUGUGCUACUAGAGCGGCCGAUGGCAGAUUAGGUAGUUGGUGGGAUAAAAGCUUACCAAGCCGACGAUCUGUAGCUGGUCUGAGAGGAAGAUCAGCCACACUGGGACUGAGACACGGCCCAGACUCCUACGUGAGGCAGCAGUGGGGAAUUUUGGACAAUGGGCGCAAGCCUGAUCCAGCAAUGCCGCGUGCAGGAUGAAGGCCUUCGGGUUGUAAACUGCUUUUGUACGGAACGAAAAGCCCUGGGUUAAUACCCUGGGGUCAUGACGGUACCGUAAGAAUAAGCACCGGCUAACUACGUGCCAGCCGCCGCAGUAA
RNAcentral lists this ribosomal RNA (498 nucleotides) under uncultured bacterium. Its description in RNAcentral is "partial 16S ribosomal RNA". It matches the Rfam family "Bacterial small subunit ribosomal RNA", at positions 30 to 523 of the family's 1533-position model. The record is from RNAcentral.